AGGAAAGAAACUAACUAGGAUUCCCUUAGUAGCUGCGAGCGAACAGGGAAAAGCCCAGCACCGAAUCUUGUGGCCGGUAACGGCCACCGAGAAAUGUGGUGUUAGGGAGGGUCCGUUUAUCUCGAGGUAAUAUGGUGCGUCCAAGUCCUUCUUGAACGGGGCCACAGCCCAUAGAGGGUGCCAGGCCCGUAGCGACCGCCGUUUAUCACGAGAGGAUCUCUCCUCAGAGUCGGGUUGCUUGAGAGUGCAGCCCUAAGUGGGUGGUAAACUCCAUCUAAGGCUAAAUAUGACCACGAGACCGAUAGCGAACAAGUACCGUGAGGGAAAGUUGAAAAGCACUUUGAAGAGAGAGUUCAAGAGUACGUGAAACCGUUUAGGGGUAAACCUGAGAAACCCGAAAGGUCGAAAGGAGAAAUUCAUUCGCGUUUCGUCCGGUGGUGUAAGACUUUAGAGUGACGGAUCGUCUUCGGGCGAAACGCGCCUUUAGUUUGCCAACCGCCGUCGAACGCGUGCACUUUUCUCCUAGUAGGACGUCGCGAUCCGUUGGGUGCGGGUAUAAGGCUUCCGGUGGAGUCCUCGAGUACGAUUUACGUCGAAUUCGAGAACCCGGGGUGUCCCUACCUGCUGGCUCGACGGUAUAAAGAUGGCGCGGGGCCGCUACUCGUUAGCGUUCGGCCCGUGGCAAGCAAGCCGGGUGUGUCGGCCUUCGGACCUAGUGCCGGAUCUGACCCCCUGCUACUGUUGGCCACGGAGUUCUCGAACAGACUCCGUACACGCCGAUCAGCGACGCUUUAGCUUUGGGUACUUCAGAC
This 812-nucleotide ribosomal RNA is filed under the name Cyllorhynchites ursulus. RNAcentral describes it as "eukaryotic LSU rRNA". It matches the Rfam family "Eukaryotic large subunit ribosomal RNA", at positions 55 to 647 of the family's 3401-position model. Lineage: Eukaryota; Metazoa; Arthropoda; Insecta; Coleoptera; Attelabidae. The record is from RNAcentral.